This 1541-nucleotide long non-coding RNA is filed under the name Nicotiana tabacum (common tobacco). Its description in RNAcentral is "long non-coding RNA (NTAB_LNC011790)". The record is from RNAcentral. Lineage: Eukaryota; Viridiplantae; Streptophyta; Magnoliopsida; Solanales; Solanaceae.
UAAAGCCUCAAAAAUCUGAAAAAUGCCCUCAUUUCUCCCAUAAUUCUUUUCUUCUUCCUCUCUCUUCUCUCUCCCAUAUCCGCCCCCCACCACCGCUGUCGCCCGCCGGAAAUCGCCCACCGGUGGCGGCCAACACCCAAAUGACCCCAAAUUUACACCAUGUAAUCUACACAACCUCCUCUUUCCAUAUCUCCAAACCAAAUCCUUCAAAACCCCCUCAAAAUCCUUGAAUUUUAGAUCUAGGAAACUUUAGCCGCCAUUUUUUUGCCCAAAAUCUUGAAAUUCCGGCCACUACCACCCCACAAUACCUACAUCAAUAGAUAUAGCUCAUCAAGACCUACCUAUUGAUGUCAAUUCCAUCACAAAAAUCCGGCAACUUAAAAUUCGGCCAAAUUCCGGCGACCACCCCGAACGCCCUCGUUUGGUAUACCCCUAUUCUCAUUUCCUUUGUCUAUUAUUUCUAAUUGAAUUGUAUUUAGUGUAUGUCUGGCAUAAUUUAUAAUUUUUUUUAUUUUUAUUUUUAUUAUUAUUAUUAGUUGUGUUUAAUCUAUGUUAGCUUAGUCGUUUAUAGUUAUUAAUCACUGAUAAUUAGUUAUUCAUUAGUUUUGAAAUAGCUAUUCGCUUAGUCAUGAUAGUUUAAGAUAAAAGUUUCAAGUGCUUAGUGAAUUUAUUUUUAUUGGAUUUGAGUAUUUGAAUUUUGUGUUGAUAAAAGCUAAAAUUAAAGAAGGAAUAGUACAAGUUUGGUUGUUUUUACUGUGCAAAGACUUUGGAGUACAAAACUCAAAAGUCAUUGUAUGGUGACAAAUUCAAUACUUUUUGACAACUUUUCAAUAGUGUUUAGCACACAAAGUCAGUCUUUUGGACAGACUUUUGGUGAACCAAAAUCUGUCCAAAUAAUCUGAUUUAUUUGCCUAUUUAAAGGGCUGCUCUUCUCCUAUAAAAGGGACACACACUCUAUCUUAUACGAAUACAUCUUUAGAUUUGUUUGAACACACAUCUUUGAACAAAAAAUCAGCAACUGAAUAUUUUAGUAAGUUGAAAUUUGUGAGCUUUGUGAGUGACUCCUAGCGUGUAAAAUCAUUAAGAAAAUAGAGCAAUCGUUUGGCUAAGUUCUGAGAUUGUUAGUUACUAGUUUCAAGUGUCUUCGUGGGAUUUUCUGGGCUGUUUCUCACACUGAUUGGCUGUUGUUACUGUUGCUGGAAUUUCUGUUCAUUCAUCGCUGAUCUUUGCUUUUCUGUUAUCCAGGUAUUCCCAUAUGGUACUGUAAUUUUUUGGGGUCAACAAUAAAUGAAAAUGAAGCUAUUUGAGUUCUUUUCAAUUUAUUAUAAGCUUAAUAACAUUCUGUUUCUUAUAUAGUUUUGUAUGUAAGCAUGCGUAAUACACUAUAAUCUUGUAUUAAUGAGAAAAUGCUUCGUUAAUCCAAGGAGGGUUUUCAUGUUCUUUAAGUGAUGUGUUUGUAUUAUGUAAUAUUGUAAUUUUUUAAAAUAAGGCCAAAUAUCUGAAGAUGGCAACAUUAAUACAUUUUAAAGUGUUAAACUUAG